GUCUAAACCAUUAUUCAAAUGGCUCUAUGUGCACUCCCCUCUGUAUUGUGCUAUAAGCAAUCCUUUCUAUGCAGUGCAGUGUGAAGGCUUGCUGAUCAUGAUGUGUCUAAUUGUCGUUAAUAGACAGAAUGUUGGGGAAUUCUGUUCCCAGACAUGCUACUAGGUCCCCAGCUAGUUAACGUCGGUUUGUAUAGAGUAAAGAUUCGCUUUCUAUUUUAAAUAGAUGCCAAACUGUGGUUAUGGUCAU
Molecule: non-coding RNA, 247 nt
Organism: Pelobates cultripes (western spadefoot toad)
Lineage: Eukaryota; Metazoa; Chordata; Amphibia; Anura; Pelobatidae
Source: the annotation of a GenBank genome assembly